GUGCUUGCUUUGGCAGCACAUAUGGUAAAAUUGGAACUAAUACAGAGAAGAUUAGCAUGGCUCCUGUGCAAGGAUGACACGCAAAUUCAUGAAGCGGUCCAUAUUUAA
Small nuclear RNA from Jaculus jaculus (lesser Egyptian jerboa), 108 nucleotides. The record is from Ensembl. Lineage: Eukaryota; Metazoa; Chordata; Mammalia; Rodentia; Dipodidae.